RNAcentral lists this long non-coding RNA (274 nucleotides) under Setaria italica (foxtail millet). Its description in RNAcentral is "long non-coding RNA (SITA_LNC002059)". The record is from RNAcentral. Lineage: Eukaryota; Viridiplantae; Streptophyta; Magnoliopsida; Poales; Poaceae.
AAGGGGAGGGAUGACCAAUUUAAAUAUGAAAGUUGUCUCUACUCCUCCAAGUUAUAUGUGCUUGCUGGGCUGAGUGAAGAGCAUAGGCAUGUGGCACUUGUGUGGAUGGUCCACUGAAAUCCAACCCCUUGCCCUGCGGGGGUGCAGCUUCCUUUUGCCGUUUUAUUUUUUGGUUACUUGGUCCUUAAGUCAGUGAGAUAUAUGGAAUCCUAAUCGGUUUAGAUCACGAUCGCGAUGUGAGAAUCGUGGGAUCUCCUAUAUAUGCGAUCUACCG